This 671-nucleotide ribosomal RNA is filed under the name uncultured bacterium. RNAcentral describes it as "bacterial SSU rRNA". It matches the Rfam family "Bacterial small subunit ribosomal RNA", at positions 152 to 810 of the family's 1533-position model. The record is from RNAcentral.
GGAAACAGGUGCUAAUACCGUAUAACACUAUUUUCCGCAUGGAAGAAAGUUGAAAGGCGCUUUUGCGCCACUGAUGGAUGGACCCGCGGUGCAUUAGCUAGUCGGUGAGGUAACGGCUCACCAAGGCCACGAUGCAUAGCCGACCUGAGAGGGUGAUCGGCCACACUGGGACUGAGACACGGCCCAGACUCCUACGGGAGGCAGCAGUAGGGAAUCUUCGGCAAUGGACGAAAGUCUGACCGAGCAACGCCGCGUGAGUGAAGAAGGUUUUCGGAUCGUAAAACUCUGUUGUUAGAGAAGAACAAGGAUGAGAGUAAAACGUUCAUCCCUUGACGGUAUCUAACCAGAAAGCCACGGCUAACUACGUGCCAGCAGCCGCGGUAAUACGUAGGUGGCAAGCGUUGUCCGGAUUUAUUGGGCGUAAAGCGAGCGCAGGCGGUUUCUUAAGUCUGAUGUGAAAGCCCCCGGCUCAACCGGGGAGGGUCAUUGGAAACUGGGAGACUUGAGUGCAGAAGAGGAGAGUGGAAUUCCAUGUGUAGCGGUGAAAUGCGUAGAUAUAUGGAGGAACACCAGUGGCGAAGGCGGCUCUCUGGUCUGUAACUGACGCUGAGGCUCGAAAGCGUGGGGAGCGAACAGGAUUAGAUACCCUGGUAGUCCACGCCGUAAACGAU